AGUGAACGCUGGCGGUAGGCCUAACACAUGCAAGUCGAACGGCAGCACAGUAAGAGCUUGCUCUUACGGGUGGCGAGUGGCGGACGGGUGAGGAAUACAUCGGAAUCUACUUUUUCGUGGGGGAUAACGUAGGGAAACUUACGCUAAUACCGCAUACGACCUACGGGUGAAAGUAGGGGAUCUUCGGACCUUGCGCGAUUGAAUGAGCCGAUGUCGGAUUAGCUAGUUGGCGGGGUAAAGGCCCACCAAGGCGACGAUCCGUAGCUGGUCUGAGAGGAUGAUCAGCCACACUGGAACUGAGACACGGUCCAGACUCCUACGGGAGGCAGCAGUGGGGAAUAUUGGACGAUGGGCGCAAGCCUGAUCCAGCCAUACCGCGUGGGUGAAGAAGGCCUUCGGGUUGUAAAGCCCCUUUGUUGGGAAAGAAAAGCAGCAGGUUAAUACCCCGCUGUUCUGACGGUACCCAAAGAAUAAGCACCGGCUAACUUCGUG
RNAcentral lists this ribosomal RNA (492 nucleotides) under uncultured bacterium. RNAcentral's name for it is "partial 16S ribosomal RNA". It matches the Rfam family "Bacterial small subunit ribosomal RNA", at positions 29 to 507 of the family's 1533-position model. The record is from RNAcentral.